GUAGGUGGCAAGCGUUGUCCGGAAUUAUUGGGCGUAAAGCGCGCGCAGGGCGGUCCUUUAAGUCUGAUGUGAAAGCCCACGGCUCAACCGUGGAGGGUCAUUGGAAACUGGGGGACUUGAGUACAGAAGAGGAAAGCGGAAUUCCAAGUGUAGCGGUGAAAUGCGUAGAGAUUUGGAGGAACACCAGUGGCGAAGGCGGCUUUCUGGUCUGUAGCUGACGCUGAGGCGCGAAAGCGUGGGGAGCAAACAGGAUUAGAUACCCUGGUAGUCCACGCCGUAAACGAUGAGUGCUAAGUGUUAGGGGGUUUCCGCCCCUUAGUGCUGCAGCUAACGCAUUAAGCACUCCGCCUGGGGAGUACGGCCGCAAGGCUG
RNAcentral lists this ribosomal RNA (372 nucleotides) under uncultured organism. RNAcentral describes it as "partial 16S ribosomal RNA". It matches the Rfam family "Bacterial small subunit ribosomal RNA", at positions 527 to 896 of the family's 1533-position model. The record is from RNAcentral.